UUGAAUGGCCGCGGUAUUUUGACCGUGCUAAGGUAGCAUAAUCAUUAGUUUUUUAAUUGAAAGCUGGAAUGAAGGGCUGAAUGAAAAAAAGACUGUCUCUUUUUAAUUAUUUUAAAAUUUUAUUUUUAAGUUAAAAAGCUUAAAUAUUAUUAAAAGACGAGAAGACCCUAUAGAGUUUUAUAAUUUUAAUUUAUAUAAAUUUUAGUAUUAAAUUUUUAAUUUUUUAAAAUUAUUUAAUUGGGGUGAUUAAAAAAUUUAAUUAACUUUUUUUAUAUAUUUAUAUUAAUUAAUAAGUAAUUGAUCCAAAGAUUUUGAUUAAAAGAUUAAAUUACCUUAGGGAUAACAGCGUAAUUUUAUUUAAGAGUU
RNAcentral lists this ribosomal RNA (366 nucleotides) under Pseudadimonia sp. BMNH 846586. RNAcentral describes it as "partial 16S ribosomal RNA". Lineage: Eukaryota; Metazoa; Arthropoda; Insecta; Coleoptera; Chrysomelidae. The record is from RNAcentral.